CUACGGGACGCAGCAGUGGGGAAUCUUAGACAAUGGGGGAAACCCUGAUCUAGCCAUGCUGCGUGAGCGACGACGGCCCUAGGGUUGUAAAGCUCUUUCAGCAGGGAAGAUAAUGACGGUACCUGCAGAAGAAGUCCCGGCUAACUCCGUGCCAGCAGCCGCGGUAAUACGGAGGGGACUAGCGUUGUUCGGAAUUACUGGGCGUAAAGCGCGCGUAGGCGGAUUGUUAAGUCGGGGGUGAAAUCCCGGGGCUCAACCCCGGAACUGCCCUCGAUACUGGCAGUCUUGAGUUCGAGAGAGGUGAGUGGAAUUCCGAGUGUAGAGGUGAAAUUCGUAGAUAUUCGGAGGAACACCAGUGGCGAAGGCGGCUCACUGGCUCGAUACUGACGCUGAGGUGCGAAAGCGUGGGGAGCAAACAGGAUUAGAUACCCCCGUAGUC
Molecule: ribosomal RNA, 439 nt
Filed under: uncultured bacterium
Lineage: Bacteria
Description: partial 16S ribosomal RNA
Rfam family: Bacterial small subunit ribosomal RNA
Source: RNAcentral